This 253-nucleotide ribosomal RNA is filed under the name uncultured bacterium. RNAcentral describes it as "partial 16S ribosomal RNA". It matches the Rfam family "Bacterial small subunit ribosomal RNA", at positions 524 to 776 of the family's 1533-position model. The record is from RNAcentral.
GACGUAGGGCGCGAGCGUUGUCCGGAUUUAUUGGGCGUAAAGAGCUCGUAGGCGGCUUGUUGCGUCAGCUGUGAAAACCCGCAGCUCAACUGUGGGCUUGCAGCUGAUACGGGCAGGCUUGAGUUCGGUAGGGGAGACUGGAAUUCCUGGUGUAGCGGUGAAAUGCGCAGAUAUCAGGAGGAACACCGGUGGCGAAGGCGGCUUGCUGGGCCAGUUCUGACGCUGAGGAGCGAAAGCGUGGGGAGCGAACAGG